Molecule: unclassified non-coding RNA, 383 nt
Filed under: Hevea brasiliensis (rubber tree)
Lineage: Eukaryota; Viridiplantae; Streptophyta; Magnoliopsida; Malpighiales; Euphorbiaceae
Source: RNAcentral
AGCAGAAGGAGAAGGUUAACAACGCCGUGCUGUUCGAUCAGGCGACCUAUGACAAGAUGAUCACUGAGGUCCCGAAGUUUAAGCAGAUCACCCCCUCUGUGCUGUCCGAGAGGCUGCGGAUCAAUGGUUCUCUGGCUCGCAAGGCCAUAAAAGAUUUGAUGGCCAGGGGUGCCAUCAGGAUGGUUACUGCACACUCCAGCCAGCAGAUCUACACUCGAGCCACAAACACCUAGUAGGGCCUCUCCACCUCCUUCCUACUGUUGGGUUGUCUUUUUUGAAUUUGUUUGUUGACUAUUGUUUAUGUUAUUUAUUCUAAAUUUAAAACAUGUGUUUGAAUUUUGUCAUGAUAUUUGUCAAGUUCUAAUUUAAUGUGUAUGAAUUUU